GAAACCGUUCAGGGGUAAACCUGAGAAACCCAAAAGAUCGAACGGGGAGAUUCAUCGUCAGCGGCGCUGGCCUCACGGUGGCGCGCGAUGUUCCGUACGCGGGUCUCGGCCCGUGGCACGCGAGCACGCCGUCGCCGACGAACGUCCGGCGCUGUAGUCGUGCACUUCUCCUCUAGUAGAACGUCGCGACCCGUUGGGUGUCGGUCUACGGCCCGAGCGGGCGUCUGUCGCGUCGCCUCGUGCGCACGCGGCAAACCCUCGGUAGCCCGACCGACUGCCCGGCGGUACUCGCACGGUAUAGGGCCGCAGCAACAACGACCCGGUCGUGUUCUGCGUCGGACCCGUCGCAAGCUUCGUCAGAUGUCGGGAGGUACGGACCUGGUGCCGUCCCCCGCGCUGGCUGGCUGUUAGCAGACGGUGCUCUCGGACAGGCCAAACUACGAAAUACCGGUCGGCGACGCUACUGCUUUGGGUACUCUCAGGACCCGUCUUGAAACACGGACCAAGGAGUCUAACAUGUGCGCGAGUCAUUGGGACAACAAAACCUAAAGGCGUAAUGAAAGUGAAGGUCGUCCUUAGCGUCGACCGAGGGAGGAUGGGCUGCGUCACGAUGCUGCUCCGCACUCCCGGGGCGUCUCGUUCUCGUCGCGAGAAGAGGCGCACCCAGAGCGUACACGUUGGGACCCGAAAGAUGGUGAACUAUGCCUGGUCAGGACGAAGUCAGGGGAAACCCUGAUGGAGGUCCGUAGCGAUUCUGACGUGCAAAUCGAUCGUCGGAACUGGGUAUAGGGGCGAAAGACUAAUCGAACCAUCUAGUAGCUGGUUCCCUCCGAAGUUUCCCUCAGGAUAGCUGGCACUCGCUCGCCCCUCGCGGGCGCUUGCGAGUCUCAUCUGGUAAAGCGAAUGAUUAGAGGCCUUGGGGCCGAAACGACCUCAACCUAUUCUCAAACUUUAAAUGGGUGAGAUCUCUGGCUUGCUUGAAGCAUGAAGCCACGAGAUUUAUGGAUCAGAGUGCCAAGUGGGCCAAUUUUGGUAAGCAGAACUGGCGCUGUGGGAUGAACCAAACGCAGAGUUAAGGCGCCUAAGUCGACGCUUAUGGGACACCAUGAAAGGCGUUGGUUGCUUAAGACAGCAGGACGGUGGCCAUGGAAGUCGGAAAYGAAACCGUUCAGGGGUAAACCUGAGAAAUCCAAAAGAUCGAAUGGGGAGAUUCAUCGUCAACGAGAAGGCUCCCGUUGGUGUGCGAUGUCCCAAGUGGAUCCUCGUGGUUCACUGGGAGGGCACGCCACCUACGGGUCGAAGACCGGCUUCGUAGUCGUGCACUUCUCCCCUAGUAGAACGUCGCGACCCGUUGUGUGUCGGUCUACGGCCCGGGGUCGAAGCCUGACACGUUCCUUGAGGCACACGCUGUCAGAUCCCCGGUAGCCUGGCCGGCUGCACGACGGUACUCGUACGGUAUCGGGCCGCAACCAAUCCAUUUUCGAAUGAGUGUGCGUCAGGCCCGUCGCAAGCGUCGAUUAGUAAAUCCGUGUAAACGCAUCUUGUGCCUUACCGGGCCUAGUCGUUCAGCUGUUAGCCGGCGGUGUCAUUGGACUGGCCAAAAUACGAAUUACCGGUCGGCGACGCUAUUGCUUUGGGUACUUUCAGGACCCGUCUUGAAACACGGACCAAGGAGUCUAACAUGUGCGCGAGUCAUUGGGACAGACAAACCUAAAGGCGAAAUGAAAGUGAAGGUCGACCUCAUUGCGUUGAUCAAGGGAGGAUGGGCCCCGUUACGAUGGGGCCUCGCACUCCCGGGGCGUCUCGUUCUCAUUGCGAGGAGAGGCGCACCUAGAGCGUACACGUUGGGACCCGAAAGAUGGUGAACUAUGCCUGGUCAGGACGAAGUCAGGGGAAACCCUGAUGGAGGUCCGUAGCGAUUCUGACGUGCAAAUCGAUCGUCGGAACUGGGUAUAGGGGCGAAAGACUAAUCGAACCAUCUAGUAGCUGGUUCCCUCCGAAGUUUCCCUCAGGAUAGCUGGCACUCGCUCGUUCCAUGUCGAACGCAGACGAGUCUCAUCUGGUAAAGCGAAUGAUUAGAGGCCUUGGGGCCGAAACGACCUCAACCUAUUCUCAAACUUUAAAUGGGUGAGAACUCUGGCUUGCUUGAAAUUAUGAAGCCAAAGAGAAAUAUAAUAUUAAUGGAUUAGAGUGCCAAGUGGGCCAAUUUUGGUAAGCAGAACUGGCGCUGUGGGAUGAACCAAACGCAGAGUUAAGGCGCUUAAGACGACGCUUAAUGGGAUACCAUGAAAGGCGUUGGUUGCUUAAGACAGCAGGACGGUGGCCAUGGAAGUCGGAA
RNAcentral lists this ribosomal RNA (2338 nucleotides) under Plenoculus nr. parvus BND-2010. RNAcentral describes it as "eukaryotic LSU rRNA". The stretch from base 1062 to 2338 matches the Rfam family "Eukaryotic large subunit ribosomal RNA", at positions 1 to 1266 of the family's 3401-position model. Lineage: Eukaryota; Metazoa; Arthropoda; Insecta; Hymenoptera; Crabronidae. The record is from RNAcentral.